Molecule: long non-coding RNA, 1000 nt
Organism: Bos taurus (domestic cattle)
Lineage: Eukaryota; Metazoa; Chordata; Mammalia; Artiodactyla; Bovidae
Source: Ensembl
UUUCUAUUCAGGGGAAAAGAGAGGGUUUUUCUGGUGGCUCAGAUGGUAAAGAAUUUGCCUUCAAUGCAGGAAACCUGGGUUCAAUCUCCAGAUUGGGAAGAUCCCCUGGAGAAGGGAGGGGAAAGAGAAACUUCUACAGCUGGAUGAAGCUGUGGAUAUGUUCUAGAUUCUGGGCCAUCCUGACUCCCUGAGCAGCCCAAAUAGUUAUUUGGUAGGUAGACAGGCUGUGAGGGGAGGUGGAGAGGUCCAUACAUAACGAAGAAAAAUGGAAUUAAGAACUAGAAGUCUCCUUCAUUGGGGCCACUGGAGUGAAUCAAGAAAACAUCCAAAAAUCCUCGGCAAUCAAGAAGCAAACUGACUGAGCUGAGCUGAGCUGAAUCUCAUUUCACAUGCCUCCCCAAGGUGAGCUCUCGAGGACCUAAGACGAACAGAGGGUCCGAGCCACUGACAGGAGCCUCUGAGCAACCAUCAGACGCGUAGGUUGUUUCCAUAUCUUUGGCGACUGUGGAUAAUGCUGAAGGAACAUGGGAGUACAGACACUCAAGAUCCAGAUUUCAUUUCCUUCAGAUAAAUACUCAAAAGUGGAAUUGCUGAAUAACAGGGUAGUUUUAUCUUUAAUUUUUUGAGGAGUCUCCAUACUGUUUUCCAUAGUGGCUUCAUCAAUUUACGAUUCCCAACAGUGCACAAGGGUUUCCUUUUCUCCACAUCCUUACCAACGUUGCUUUUUGAUAAAACAAUGUCUGCUAUUGCUUUCUUUUUGAUAAUAGCCAUCUUAACAAACAUGAGAUAGUAUCUCAUUGUGAUUUGGGGUUUGCAUUUUCUUAAUGAUUAGUGAUGUUGAACACUUUUUCCUAUACCCAUUGGCCAUUUGUGUCCUUUCUAUUGGAAAAUAUCUAUGUAGGUGUUUUGACCAUUUCUUAACUAGAUUAAGUUUUUUUUGCUAUCAAGUUGUAUGAAUUUCUUAACAAUUUUUGAUAUUAACUUCUUAUCAGAUAUAUGG